CACGGAGUUAGCCGAUGCUUUUUCUUCGGAUACACGCAGUCCGGGACACGUCCCGGGUUUUGUUCUCCGACAAAAGAGGUUUACAACCCAUAGGGCCGUCUUCCCUCACGCGGCUUGGCUGGUUCAGGAUCUCUCCCAUUGACCAAUAUUCCUCACUGCUGCCUCCCGUGGGAGUCUGGUCCGUGUCUCAGUACCAGUGUGGGGGACCUUCCUCUCAGAACCCCUACGCAUCGUCGCCACGGUGGGCCGUUACCCCGCCGUCAAGCUAAUGCGCCGCAUGCCCAUCCUCUUCCGAUGAAUCUUUCCUCGAUCUCGGAUGCCCGAAACCGAUAUACGCGGGAUUAGCCUCCCUUUCGGAAGGUUGUCCCCCUGAAGAGGGCAGGUUGCAUACGUGUUACUCACCCGUGCGCCGGUCGCCGGCAAGGAAAGCAAAGCUUCCCUCCCGAUGCCCCUCGACUUGCAUGUGUUAAGCCUGCCCGCUAGCGUUCAUCCUGAGCCAGGAUCAAAACUCU
RNAcentral lists this ribosomal RNA (512 nucleotides) under uncultured Bacteroidales bacterium. RNAcentral's name for it is "partial 16S ribosomal RNA". The record is from RNAcentral. Lineage: Bacteria; Pseudomonadati; Bacteroidota; Bacteroidia; Bacteroidales.